This is an RNA transcript of Malurus melanocephalus (red-backed fairy wren), 3138 nucleotides long. It is a transcript of the gene named transmembrane protein 180-like, with no coding region annotated. NCBI's taxonomy places the organism in Eukaryota, Metazoa, Chordata, Aves, Passeriformes, Maluridae. The record is from RefSeq and is a predicted model, not a curated record. The transcript has 7 exons.
UGCUCUGUGCGUUAUUUGCUAUGUUUUACUUACAUGCAUUCUUGUGUACGAUGAAAAUGUUAAUUUAAAGGUGUUUUGGUUUGGUUGUUUCAUGUCUUAGUAGGUGAAAAUAUUGCUUCCUUGACUUCUUAACAAUUAGUAUUUUARAAUAGAAGGACAAAAGUUGGUAUUUGUUUUGAAAUAAAUACUCCCCUAUGUGCACGCUGCAUUUGGCAUUCAUAGUAAUGGAAUACAAAAGGGUAUGAGUUGAGUCACUUCAUUCCAGCACAGUUCGUAAUUUUAAGAAUAUACACCUAGCAAAAAAGAUCUAAAUUGUAUGCAAUUACUUUGAACUCUACACCAAGAAGCGUGUUUUCAAUAGGCAGGUUUUAAGUAGAGUCUGUGCAUCAGUUAAGAAGGGAUUCUUUUCAUUUUUUGUCUACUUGUUCCAUUGACUUUUAAGCACUGAUUAUACAUAGAAAUGUCACCAGCUUCUUACUGUUUUGGGCUCAGUGUCUUGUAACUCAGUAAAAUGUGGUUUUCAUUGAAAAAAUUGAAGGAAGAAUGGGAAAAAUUGCCUCAGAUAAUCCAUUUCUGCGCCUCUGAAACAAGCAAAUCCCCCAAUGUUAUUUUAAUUCGGAAAAUUAUUCUACUAAUUGUUGUAAUUCUCUUUUGUAACUUGAGGAAGAAGAGAGCUGAACUSUUGGAAGAUGAAGAUUGUUUGGGGAAUUCAUACAAACGCGCUGGCAUAUUCCAUGACUACCUUAGGUGCUGGAAUGAUGAACAGUGUCUUUAAUUUCUACUACGUUAAGCUUUUCCUAAACCGAUACAAAAUUUCAGAAGCAGCAUUGCAUGUAGCACAGGUUGUGUUCAUGAUCUGGAAUGCCAUCAACGAUCCUCUUUUUGGGUACAUUCAAGACAACUCCAGUCUGAAGUGCUGCGCGAGGCGCCAGUUCUCCAUCCUGUACGGAGCCCCUCUGUACGGGCUGGCYUUCCUGCUGCCCUGGUUCCCCUGGAGGCACUAUGAGGAGGGGGACUGGCUCAGUGGGCUGCACCUCAYGGUGGCUCUGUGCACCUUCGAUGGAUUGCUGACCUUCGUGCUGCUGGCGCAGUGCGCGCUCUUCACCGAGAGCUCCAGCAGGCACGAGAGCAGGCUGCAGCUCAUCAGGUACAACCAGGUGGCCACGCUCCUGGGCUCCAGCAGCGUGCUCUUCUGUGGGCUCGUGUCGGAUAACAUGGAAAACUUGGCCUAUUUCCAGGCUUUCGCUGUUGUGAUCGCGGCGUUAGCGACGGCGUGCAUGUGUUACACGGGGAAAUACAGCACCACGCAGUAUGAGCAGAGAGAAAUCUAUACAGACACUGCYAAUCUGGACAGCACUGAUGGAGCUUUCUCCUGGGCUUCGGUAGUUUCAUUGACCAAACAGAUCAUGACAGAGAAGAACUUUUUAUGUUUUGUAACAAUGAACUUCUUCCAAGUCUUCCACCUAGCCUUCUGCAACAAUUUUAUGAUGAUCUUUGCGGAUAAUCUUAUCCCUAAGGAUGUCCUUCCUUCCUCARUAAGAAGUAUCAUGUAUGGAGCAGGUUUUAUUUGUCCUCAGUGCCUUGUUCUUCUCAGUCAUGCUUCAUUGAAGAAGUUUGGUUAUUACAGAAUCAUCUUGUUUUCCUUUUACUACGAAGGAGUAGCUGCUGCUGUCAUGUGUCUUCUCGGGCAAGAGCACUAUUAUCUGUUGGCAUUUUAUCUCACAACAAACAUGGUAAUUGUACAAGCUUCAUUUAGCUUGUUCAAUUUGCCUUUGGCAGAUAUCGUUGAUGCAGAUUUAAUAAAGCACAAGAGGAGAUUACCACUUUCCUCCAUGGUUUUUGGAACCAAUGCUUUAUUUACCAAGCCUGCCCAAUCUUUGGCUCCAAUGGUUGUGGUUACAAUACUAAAUCAUUAUGGAUAUAAGAACCUGAAUAAUGUACCUGGUCAUCCUGAUAUAAGGUCAUUUUUAGAUCUCCAUGAUGCCAUGUUCUACCUGAUCUGUCUGGUUCCCCUGUGCAUUGCAGUCCUGCAGAUCCUCAGCUGGACUCACUUUUCCAUCCAGAACAGCCACCUGUUCUGAACACACAGCCACUGCUCACUCCAUCUCCUCUCAACCACCAAAGAGUUCGUGAGUUUUUCAUGUGAGAAAACAAAACUGCAAGAUGAAACACAGUUUGAGCUGUUUCAGUAAAGUUGCAUUUUCAGUCUGUAUAGACUAUAAAUCACAUUCAGCCUUCAUGCUGAGCCUACRUGAGUUUUUCCUAGUUUGGUUGCUUUCUGUCAAUGGGUUUUAUCCUUAAUUACUUUAUUUAAAGUAAUUUCUGGUAUAUAAUGAUUCCUGUUAAUUCACUUGAAGAAAGGAUAUGGCAGAUCAGGCAAAGGAAUCCCAACCCAGCUCCUGGAAUUGAAGGGAACUGUAUUUUCUUAAGCUUUCUGGUGGACUAAUUUUGCYUACUGAUAAAAUGGCAGAUCUCUGAAGUUAAUCUGGAAUAUCCUGGUGGACAUUCUUCAUGCAUGGCAGGGAGAUGAAGAGAAAAAUUUAGAUGGUGUCUUGCUGGCCAGUAUCAAGAGAAAUCUGACAGCCACCAUGAGAAGAAAUUCUGUGUAAGGCUAAAGAAGAAAAAGAUUAAAAUGCUGUUCAGUGGUGCUGAAUAUGGAAAAAGCUCCGUAACUCCUCACUGUGAAUGUCACUGGUUGGUGGAAGGCAAAUACAAUUUUAGAAGCACCUUUCUUAGGCAGUGCCAGUCCCUAAGAGUACAGGAGCGUUGUGUGGAUCCCAUUUUAGAGGACUGAGGCAGUUUCUUUUCAAGGCUCUGCACUUCCUGUGACAGGUAACUUGGAAAAGAAAGCAGUGUAAGAAAUGGCUCUGCAYUUUGGUGGACACUGGAAUGGUUUAAUGAAGGAGUUUGAGAUUUGAAAUGCCACAGUUGAAUACUCAUUUGUGCCUCUGUUUUUACAUUUGCAGGGUAAAAAUAACAUAAUUUCCUUGCCUUUUUUGAAGYGUGAAGCGCUUUCAAGGCGAUGAGUGAAAUAGUGGGAGAGCAUCAUUAAAUAUUUAGAAAUCCAAAUGAAUCCUUUGAUAGGAAUAUGAAGAUUUAUGUUCAAAUGUAAGAAGCCAGAAYUGUGGUGAAGUUUGA